GUGGUGGAUUAGUUGAAAAAAUGUUCAGCUGUAAACAAUAAAUUAUAAUACGGGAAUUCAUCAAAAAAGUAUUAGUAUUGCUAGUGGAAAUAAUAUAAACAGAAUGAAAUGUGCUGAGUUAAAAAAUUUUUUAUUUCUUUUAAUUGCUGUAGUUGAGAAAUAUGCAGUAUUUAAAAACUCAAUUAUAUUUGUAGUCAGCUGUAAUUUAGUGAAUAAUAACAUAUGAAACUCCUGCGAUAACAAUAAUAGUGAUUUGUUUUUUUAUUAAAUUUUGUUGCAACAUUUUUGUUAUUUUAAUGAUUUUAUUGUUGUUAAUACUACAAGAAAAAAUUUAGAAGCAAUGGGAAAACUUUGUUCCGUGAAAAGUUGUCCAAGUGGGCGAAAAUUAAAAAGCUAGAAAACACUAUGAAAUAAAGCUCUACCAACAAGAACAUCAAGAUCAAUAUGAGCAACAAGAAUUGUUACUUGAUUAGGGAGUUCCUUCUAAGUUAAUUCAUGUCAUUCAACAAACUGAACACAAUUUAGAUUUACCACAGUUGAAUCAAGAAACUCCCGAUGAUAUACAGAAUAUAAUGAAUGAAAAUAUAAAAUCACACUGCUGCGGUAAGGCUGUAGUGAGGAUGUAUUUUGAUAGACCAAAAGGACUGGAAUUUGUGCAGAUGAAUCCAUCAAAUAUGCAAAUUUCAGACUGUCUAUGAGUUAACAAGGAUUUAUCUAUUACUCUAAAUGUAAUUUUUUCUACCAAUGCAGAGCUGAAUAUAAAUGAAAACAUUAGUUUUUCCAACAGUAUCACUAACUACUUAAAAACAGUGGAAAGAUGGCUAAUAUGCGAUGGAACACAAAUUGACAGUCACAAGUAUGAUGUUUUUUUGUAGUAAUAAAUGAAUUAAGGGCUAGGACAAGUAAGAUUACAUAUAUUUUUUUUAAUAAUUAAAUUAAAUUUUAGGUUUUCAAAACUUAGUAAGUGUGUACUUUUUGUUGAUGAUUUCUAUAAGAGAAAUCAAGCAAAUCCAAGGUGUAUAUCAUUUAGAACUUUGUGUUAUUUUUAGAACUAUAAUUCAAAUUCAACUGCACUAGAAAGUACAAUUGUUUAAAAAAGAUGUACUUCUAAUCUACAAAAAUGAUGUAAACAUCUAACAAGAAUAGUAAGUUAAUAUAAUAGUUGUUCUGUAUUUACAAUUGAGUUAUAUACUCAAUAAGAUGAGACAAUUCUUUUUUACUGUACGCUAAUGAAUUUUACAAUUUAUAAUUAGUACAGUGUGUUUUGACAUCUGUAAGCAAAACUUCAACAAAUGUUCAAACCCUAAAUCAAAUAUCUCACGAACUUAAAAAAGAAAAUCUUAUUAAAGUUGGGUGCUUACAGCAUGAAAGACUUAACUCUUAAAGUUAUCGAUCUUUAUAAUGUAAUGAGGGCUCAUUUACUCACAAAAUAAACGCUAUGACGCAGCUAAAACAAAAACAAACUAAAAAAGCGCCAAAUUAAUUUCUUAAAUGUACUUUUAUUUAUUAAAAAAAAUUAUAUAGAGAUAUAUCUAAUUAAAAUAUAAAUAAAAAUUUAUAUUUUAAUAUAUUGUAAUGUUAAUAAUAAAGAUUUAUUAAAUCCUGUUGGACCCGUUUUGUUGACUUCUACAUUUAAAUAAUAAUUAUGAAACCUCUAUAACCUUUUUUCGGCACGGGGUUGCCUAAAUGAUUAAUAAUUUGUUAGUUACAAUUUUAAUUAUGUUUUUUUAAUUUCAGUAAUUCUUUAAUACUAUUUUCUAUUAGCUAUUUACAAAUAAUUGAGGUACUUGAAAACACCGAAUAAUAUUGUUCCAUACUUAUGUUUGUCUGUAUGUUAUAUUAAUUAAAAAAAAUGCGCCGUAACAAAGCGGAAAUUUUUCUUUCCUUUUUUAAGUUCAGUGUCCUACUCUAAUAGUUUAUAGGGCUCUUUUUAAAAUUCUUCCACAUGCUACUAUAGCGCUACCUUAAUUUGUCCCCUUUCAACAUACACUAUAAGAUGGUCCUCCUUAUUUCUACUGUCCAUAGUUAAUGAAUAUAAGAUAAAUGAAUUGAGAUUCCAUGAAUUACUUUUUAUAAUUUCGUUUUGAAUUAUAAUGACAUUUUUUAUAUACAUAAAGGGUGGUCCAACUAAAAAGCACGAUAUUAAUUGUAAAUAAAACAAAAAUUUCUCAGAUAAUUAAUUAUCUUAAUAUUUUUUAUAAUGAUGGAAGGAUCUAUGACAAUUAUGUGUGAAACAAAAUAUUGCCUAAAUGCUCGCCACGGCUUUGGUGGUAUAACUCUGUCCGAUGGUUCAUAUUUUCAAUGACUCUGAGACAUAAUUGAGGUUCAAUAUCGUGAAUGUAUCGAAUUAUCUCAUCCUUUAGCUCUUGAAUUGUUCUUGGCUUAUUGACGUACACUUUUUCUUUCAAAU
Long non-coding RNA from Diorhabda carinulata, 2410 nucleotides. RefSeq lists it as uncharacterized. Lineage: Eukaryota; Metazoa; Arthropoda; Insecta; Coleoptera; Chrysomelidae. The transcript is spliced from 3 exons. The record is from RefSeq and is a predicted model, not a curated record.